GGUCAAGCUACAAAGGGCGCAUGGUGAAUGCCUUGGCAUCAGGAGCCGAUGAAGGACGUGAUAAGCUGCGAUAAGCUUCGGGUAGGCGCACAUAGCCAGUGAUCCGGAGAUUUCCGAAUGUGGGAACACACAUGGGAAACCCCAUGUACUGUACAGUGAAUACAUAGCUGUAUGGAGGUAAACCCUAGGGAACUGAAACAUCUAAGUACCUAGAGGAAGAGAAAGAAAAAUCGAUUUCCUUAGUAGCGGCGAGCGAAAGGGAAAGAGCCCAAACCAAGGAUUUAUCCUUGGGGUUGCGGACAGAACAUUAACGGAGAAGUCAUGAUUAACCGAACAUAACUGGAAAGUUAGACCGUAGGAGGUAAUAGUCCUGUAUGUGAAAGAUUAUGAUAAUCAAGUUCUGAUCCAGAGUACCACGAGACACGUGAAACCUUGUGGGAAGCAGGGAGGACCACCUCCCAAGGCUAAAUACUACCUGAUGACCGAUAGUGAAGCAGUACCGUGAGGGAAAGGUGAAAAGAACCCCGGGAGGGGAGUGAAAUAGAACCUGAAACCAUGUGCCUACAACCGGUCAGAGCCCCUUAUGAGGGUGAUGACGUGCUUUUUGUAGAACGAGCCAACGAGUUACGGUAUGUAGCAAGGUUAAGUAGUUAAGGUACGGAGCCGAAGGGAAACCGAGUCUAAAUAGGGCGACUAGUUGCAUGCCGUAGACCCGAAACCGGGUGACCUAUCCAUGGCCAGGUUGUAGCGAGGGUAAAACUUCGUGGAGGACCGAACCACGUUGCUGUUGAAAAAGCAUGGGAUGAGCUGUGGAUAGCGGAGAAAUUCCAAUCGAACUCGGAGAUAGCUGGUUCUCCCCGAAAUAGCUUUAGGGCUAGCGUCGGAUAUGUCUAGUGGAGGUAGAGCACUGAAUGGGCUAGGGGGCAUAGCGCUUACCGAACCUUAUCAAACUCCGAAUGCCAUAUAGAUUAAGUCCGGCAGUCAGACUACGAAUGAUAAGAUCCGUGGUCAAAAGGGAAACAGCCCAGAUCGUCAGCUAAGGUCCCAAAGUGUAAGUUAAGUGGAAAAGGAUGUGGGAUUUCUAAGACAACUAGGAUGUUAGCUUAGAAGCAGCCACUCAUUUAAAGAGUGCGUAAUAGCUCACUAGUCGAGAGAUCCUGCGCCGAAAAUGUACCGGGGCUAAACUUACCACCGAAGCUACGGGCUUGCGUAAGG
Molecule: non-coding RNA, 1215 nt
Filed under: Clostridium celatum DSM 1785
Lineage: Bacteria; Bacillati; Bacillota; Clostridia; Eubacteriales; Clostridiaceae
Description: Bacterial large subunit ribosomal RNA
Rfam family: Bacterial large subunit ribosomal RNA
Source: Rfam by way of RNAcentral